This 965-nucleotide small RNA is filed under the name Pongo abelii (Sumatran orangutan). RNAcentral's name for it is "retained intron". The record is from RNAcentral. Lineage: Eukaryota; Metazoa; Chordata; Mammalia; Primates; Hominidae.
AAAGCCAGGGCUGGGACUUCCUACAGGACCAUCAGUUUCUCCUGAUCAGCAGCCUUUCCUUCCGCAGAGAGCGAGGGCUGGCGGGAGCAGCUGGCCCUGAUUGCGGGCACGGCAGUCGUGGGUGUGGUCCUGGUCCUGGUGGUCAUUGUGGUCGCGGUUCUCUGCCUCAGGAAGCAGAGCAGUGGGAGAGAAGCAGAAUAUUCGGACAAACACGGACAGUAUCUCAUCGGGCACGGUACUAAGGUCUACAUCGACCCCUUCACUUAUGAAGACCCUAAUGAGGCUGUGAGGGAAUUUGCAAAAGAGAUCGAUGUCUCCUACGUCAAGAUUGAAGAGGUGAUUGGUGCAGGUGAGUUUGGCGAGGUGUGCCGGGGGCGACUCAAGGCCCCGGGGAAGAAGGAGAGCUGUGUGGCAAUCAAGACCCUGAAGGGUGGCUACACGGAGCGGCAGCGGCGCGAGUUCCUGAGCGAGGCCUCCAUCAUGGGCCAGUUCGAGCACCCCAAUAUCAUCCGCCUGGAGGGUGUGGUCACCAACAGCAUGCCCGUCAUGAUUCUCACAGAGUUUAUGGAGAACGGCGCCCUGGACUCCUUCCUGCGGCUAAACGACGGACAAUUCACGGUCAUCCAGCUCGUGGGCAUGCUGCGGGGCAUCGCCUCGGGCAUGCGGUACCUUGCCGAGAUGAGCUACGUCCACCGAGACCUGGCUGCUCGCAACAUCCUAGUCAACAGCAACCUCGUCUGCAAAGUGUCUGACUUUGGCCUUUCCCGAUUCCUGGAGGAGAACUCUUCCGAUCCCACCUACACAAGCUCCCUGGGAGGAAAGAUUCCCAUCCGAUGGACCGCCCCGGAGGCCAUUGCCUUCCGGAAGUUCACUUCCGCCAGUGAUGCCUGGAGUUAUGGGAUUGUGAUGUGGGAGGUGAUGUCAUUUGGGGAGAGGCCGUACUGGGACAUGAGCAAUCAGGACGU